AACGCACCUUGCACCCCUUGGCAUUCCGAGGGGUACACCCGUUUGAGUGUCGUGAAAUCAUCAAUGAUCCUUUUCUUGAUCCAUUUUGGUUGGGAAAGGAUUUUUGGACUUGGAGGUUCCAUGCUUGCUUUCUUUUUUUGAAAGUGGGCUCCUCUCAAAUGAAUUAGUGGGGUUCGCUUUGCUGAUCCUUGACGUGAUAAACUGUUUCUACGUUUUGGACUUAGCACUGUGCUUUGGGAUGCCUGCUCCUAACUGUCCCCUGGACAAACGAUGGUGCCUCUGGUCACCGCCAAUCCACAUUGGCGGGUAGGCUGGACCCACAAUAAAAAACCCUUGACCUCAAAUCGGGUGAGACUACCCGCUGAACUUAA
Molecule: unclassified non-coding RNA, 371 nt
Filed under: uncultured Russula
Lineage: Eukaryota; Fungi; Basidiomycota; Agaricomycetes; Russulales; Russulaceae
Description: sequence contains ITS2
Source: RNAcentral